AACACGUGAGUAACCUGCCCUUAACUCUGGGAUAAGCCUGGGAAACUGGGUCUAAUACCGGAUAGGAGCGCCCACCGCAUGGUGGGUGUUGGAAAGAUUUAUCGGUUUUGGAUGGACUCGCGGCCUAUCAGCUUGUUGGUGAGGUAAUGGCUCACCAAGGCGACGACGGGUAGCCGGCCUGAGAGGGUGACCGGCCACACUGGGACUGAGACACGGCCCAGACUCCUACGGGAGGCAGCAGUGGGGAAUAUUGCACAAUGGGCGAAAGCCUGAUGCAGCGACGCCGCGUGAGGGAUGACGGCCUUCGGGUUGUAAACCUCUUUCAGUAGGGAAGAAGCGAAAGUGACGGUACCUGCAGAAGAAGCACCGGCUAACUACGUGCCAGCAGCCGCGGUAAUACGUAGGGUGCGAGCGUUAUCCGGAAUUAUUGGGCGUAAAGAGCUCGUAGGCGGUUUGUCGCG
RNAcentral lists this ribosomal RNA (461 nucleotides) under Micrococcus sp. RNAcentral's name for it is "bacterial SSU rRNA". It matches the Rfam family "Bacterial small subunit ribosomal RNA", at positions 112 to 587 of the family's 1533-position model. Lineage: Bacteria; Bacillati; Actinomycetota; Actinomycetes; Micrococcales; Micrococcaceae. The record is from RNAcentral.